AUUGCUGCAACGAUGAUCAAUCCAAUCGAAGAAGCCCAAACUAUCUGCCCUAAACUCGGUUUGCUGCCACUUUCUGAACAAAUUCAAAUCAAAUCAAAUCAAAGCAAAUCAACACCUGAAAACAAAAAAAAGAGGAAUAGCAGAUAAGGACCUACUUCUCCAAAGGCUCACAUGGGUUUGUUCUAUCCAUUAGAAUUUCAUUUGCUUUCUGGCUGGUCCCACUUUUUCCAAUAAAAGGAGGCCAAGAAAAUUUCAUAAAGUUUGUCAAAUGAGUAGCAACAUACCAUGUGAUGCUCUCCAAUUCUCAUUAAGUGCUCCAUUAGUGGACCUAACCAAACUGUGAAUCAGAUGAAAUAUGAGAUGCUGAUAUGAUAUGAUUUAAUGCAUUGGUUUGUGUGAAGUCGCUUCACUUACCUAGAAGCUGGGUCCAUUGAUGAAGCAAUUUCCUCUUGCAAGGAGGUCCAAUCACAAGGAUAUGUUGGCUUGUUUUUAUAAGCCAUCUAUUUUGAUAUGUUAUUCCACUGGAACAAGCAUGGUGUGGUUUGGAAAUUGAAUUACAAUUGGGCCUGUAGUUUAGCAAGUUGUGGUAUAUAUAUCCAACAUACAUGGAGCCAAGAGAAAGGAUGAGAUGGGAAUGGAAAUUCCUGUGAGCUGACAAAGUCAUGUUCAGUGGGUCCUCUAAGUUGUCUAGGGAGCUCACUUUUAAAUGCUCAUUAGAAAUGCUCAGGCAACUUAUUUCCUCAUGAUUCUAUAAAUAUAGAUCCUAAAUGAGUUUCAAAUAGCAGAUAUUUCACAAUUCUACUUCCAACUUCUUUGACACGGAUCAAGAUUAAACUUCAGAUCUGUUUAUAGUCUUCCGAUCAUUUCAAAUAGAUUUAACAAGGGGAUGUAUUUGCCAUCAUCCCUGAUCUAAUGGCAAACAAAUUUUCAAGAUGAAAUGGGUUUUAACAUCAAGCAAUUGGAUAUUGUUCCUAGAGGUUAUUUUGUAGUAUGUGGGAGAGAUCCAGAGGAAGCUAUUUGUGGUUCUCAUUUCAUGCUUGAACCAUCAUUUUUUCCAACAAUGCCUCAGCCGAGUAGAAGAAGGUUUCGGUUUCCAUCAUCCACAAGAAGGUCUUACAAUUCCUUGCCAGGACUUCAUUGAUCUCACUUAUAGAUUAAAGCACUCUUGAAGGAUGAAUAUGACAAAAUAACCAUGAACCUUUUGUUUACAUAUUUUUCUCCUAACUUGUUUUCUUUCUAUUUCCUGCUUGAAUGUUGUGUUUGAUUACAAUCUCAAGCCUUUCAGGAUUCAGAUAAGUUCCUUUGUUAUUAAA
This is a non-coding RNA of Benincasa hispida (wax gourd), 1313 nucleotides long. NCBI's taxonomy places the organism in Eukaryota, Viridiplantae, Streptophyta, Magnoliopsida, Cucurbitales, Cucurbitaceae. The record is from RefSeq and is a predicted model, not a curated record.